RNAcentral lists this ribosomal RNA (250 nucleotides) under uncultured bacterium. RNAcentral's name for it is "partial 16S ribosomal RNA". It matches the Rfam family "Bacterial small subunit ribosomal RNA", at positions 524 to 773 of the family's 1533-position model. The record is from RNAcentral.
GACGAGGGGUCCUAGCGUUGUUCGGAAUCAUUGGGCGUAAAGCGUGUGUAGGCUGCCAUUUAAGUCAGGUGUGAAAUCCCCGGGCUCAACCCGGGACGUGCAUUUGAUACUGAGUGGCUUGAGUAUGGGAGAGGAUAGUGGAAUUCCUGGUGUAGUGGUGAAAUACGUAGAUAUCAGGAGGAACACCGGUGGCGAAGGCGGCUAUCUGGCCCUAUACUGACGCUGAGACACGAAAGCGUGGGGAGCAAAC